CACUCUAGCCAGACUGCGGUGAAUAAAGUCGGAAGGAAGGGUGGGACGACGUCAAAUCAUCAUGCCCUUUAUGUCCUGGGCUACACACGUACUACAAUGGCCGUUACAACGGGAAGCGAAGGAGCAAUCCGGAGCAAAUCCCUUAAAGGCGGUCCCAGUUCAGAUUGUGGGCUGAAACUCGCCCACAUGAAGGCGGAAUUGCUAGUAAUUGCAGAUCAGCAUGCUGCAGUGAAUACGUUCCCGGGCCUU
RNAcentral lists this ribosomal RNA (249 nucleotides) under uncultured bacterium. RNAcentral describes it as "partial 16S ribosomal RNA". It matches the Rfam family "Bacterial small subunit ribosomal RNA", at positions 1136 to 1382 of the family's 1533-position model. The record is from RNAcentral.